AACGAACGCUGGCGGCAGGCCUAACACAUGCAAGUCGAGCGAACCCUUCGGGGUUAGCGGCGGACGGGUUAGUAACGCGUGGGAAUAUACCCUUUGGUACGGAAUAGCCUCGGGAAACUGAGAGUAAUACCGUAUGUGCCCUUCGGGGAAGAUUUAUCGCCAAAGGAUUAGCCCGCGUUGGAUUAGAUAGUUGGUGGGGUAAUGGCCUACCAAGUCUACGAUCCAUAGCUGGUUUGAGAGGAUGAUCAGCAACACUGGGACUGAGACACGGCCCAGACUCCUACGGGAGGCAGCGGUGGGGAAUCUUAGACAAUGGGCGCAAGCCUGAUCUAGCCAUGCCGCGUGGACGAUGAAGGCCUUAGGGUUGUAAAGUCCUUUCAGAUGGGAAGAUAAUGACGGUACCAUCAGAAGAAGCCCCGGCUAACUCCGUG
RNAcentral lists this ribosomal RNA (431 nucleotides) under uncultured bacterium. RNAcentral's name for it is "bacterial SSU rRNA". It matches the Rfam family "Bacterial small subunit ribosomal RNA", at positions 29 to 507 of the family's 1533-position model. The record is from RNAcentral.